GGGUGUGUGGUUUCCAAGGUGCUUACAAACACUUGCUUCAGAGCUGGGGCUUCUAAUGCCAAAGAGGGCCUAGAUGUGACGCUGGAGCUUUGGAGUUGGCAGGUUUUUAUGACCCCUAUUCCCCUUAGCCCCCUUCUUUCCAGGCUCAGCACAAGGAGCAGCCAUAUGAUGUUUACACACAUAGAACAACCGGAUUACGCAUCAAGGAGAUAGUUUUUCUGCUGAUGCCUGUGAAGAGCUGAAUGGGGACCACUAUGUACUACUCAGUACAGCAUCUGUGAAGAAUGGGAGCUGACCUCAUGCAUAGAGCCACCACGAAGUGAGCAGCUUCCUCUGCCAUGUACUCCCACCAUGAUGCACUGUGCCACCAAAAGCCAAAGGCAACAGGAUCCACUUACCUUGGACUGAAGGUGCCAAAACUGUGAGCCAAAGCCUCACUCAGAUGCCAAUUAGAAAGUGCUCCUGAUUUUCUGCCUUGCUGGUAAGGAGAAGCCCUUACCACUCCAGCAGGACCUGGGUACCAAAACUCUAGCAUAGGAGCCUAAGCCUUCUUGCAAGAGGAGAAGUGACAACAAAUUUAAGUAGAGAAGAUGAAUAUCUGCAUGAGCCAAGUGACUGUGAAGAGGGC
RNAcentral lists this long non-coding RNA (628 nucleotides) under Heterocephalus glaber (naked mole-rat). RNAcentral describes it as "lncRNA (ENSHGLG00000035744.1)". Lineage: Eukaryota; Metazoa; Chordata; Mammalia; Rodentia; Bathyergidae. The record is from RNAcentral.